Clostridium carboxidivorans P7 is the source of this 128-nucleotide regulatory RNA element. It matches the Rfam family "Ribosomal protein L10 leader". Rfam says of the family: This family is a putative r-protein leader autoregulatory structure found in B. subtilis and other low-GC Gram-positive bacteria. It is located in the 5' untranslated regions of mRNAs encoding ribosomal proteins L10 and L12 (rplJ-rplL). A Rho-independent transcription terminator structure that is probably involved in regulation is included at the 3' end. The record is from Rfam. NCBI's taxonomy places the organism in Bacteria, Bacillati, Bacillota, Clostridia, Eubacteriales, Clostridiaceae.
GGUUAACAAGUAAAUAUUCCGUAGACAGUGGGUGCGAAAGCGUAACGUUAACAACCUACCGAGGGUUCCAAUAUAAAGAUUAUGGUUGGUCUCUCUGCGUCUUCGGAGGGACCUUUAAAUUUUGUAUA